This 489-nucleotide ribosomal RNA is filed under the name uncultured bacterium. Its description in RNAcentral is "partial 16S ribosomal RNA". It matches the Rfam family "Bacterial small subunit ribosomal RNA", at positions 28 to 523 of the family's 1533-position model. The record is from RNAcentral.
GACGAACGCUGGCGGCGUGCUUAACACAUGCAAGUCGAGCGGAAAGGCCCUUUCGGGGGUACUCGAGCGGCGAACGGGUGAGUAACACGUGAGUAAUCUGCCCUUGGCUUUGGGAUAACCACCGGAAACGGUGGCUAAUACCGGAUAUGACGCGCCCCGGCAUCGGGGUGUGUGGAAAGUUUUUUCGGCCAGGGAUGUGCUCGCGGCCUAUCAGCUUGUUGGUGGGGUAAUGGCCUACCAAGGCUUCGACGGGUAGCCGGCCUGAGAGGGUGACCGGCCACAGUGGGACUUAGACACGGCCCCGACUCCUGCGGGAGGCAGCAGUGGGGAAUAUUGGACAAUGGGCGGAAGCCUGAUCCAGCAACGCCGCGUGAGGGACGACGGCCUUCGGGUUGUAAACCUCUUUCAGUACCGACGAAGCGCCGAUGAUGGUGGUGACGGUAGGUACAGAAGAAGCACCGGCCAACUACGUGCCAGCCGCCGCGGUAA